Molecule: ribosomal RNA, 253 nt
Filed under: uncultured bacterium
Lineage: Bacteria
Description: partial 16S ribosomal RNA
Rfam family: Bacterial small subunit ribosomal RNA
Source: RNAcentral
UACGUAGGGUGCAAGCGUUAAUCGGAAUUACUGGGCGUAAAGCGUGCGCAGGCGGUUGUGCAAGACAGGUGUGAAAUCCCCGGGCUUAACCUGGGAACUGCACUUGUGACUGCACGGCUGGAGUACGGCAGAGGGGGAUGGAAUUCCGCGUGUAGCAGUGAAAUGCGUAGAUAUGCGGAGGAACACCGAUGGCGAAGGCAGCCCCCUGGGCCUGUACUGACGCUCAUGCACGAAAGCGUGGGGAGCAAACAGG